AUUGAACGCUGGCGGCAGGCCUAACGCAUGCAAGUCGAGCGGUAGAGAGGUGCUUGCACCUCUUGAGAGCGGCGGACGGGUGAGUAAUGCCUAGGAAUCUGCCUGGUAGUGGGGGAUAACGCUCGGAAACGGACGCUAAUACCGCAUACGUCCUACGGGAGAAAGCAGGGGACCUUCGGGCCUUGCGCUAUCAGAUGGGCCUGGGUCGGAUUAGCUAGUUGGUGAGGUAAUGGCUCACCAAGGCGACGAUCCGUAACUGGUCUGAGAGGAUGAUCAGUCACACUGGAACUGAGACACGGUCCAGACUCCUACGGGAGGCAGCAGUGGGGAAUAUUGGACAAUGGGCGAAAGCCUGAUUCAGCCAUGUCGCGUGUGUGAAGAAGGUCUUCGGAUUGUAAAGCACUUUAAGUUGGGAGGAAGGGUCGUUACCUAAUACGUGACGAUUUUGACGUUACCGACAGAAUAAGCACCGGCUAACUCUGUGCCAGCAGCCGCCGUAA
This 500-nucleotide ribosomal RNA is filed under the name uncultured bacterium. RNAcentral's name for it is "partial 16S ribosomal RNA". It matches the Rfam family "Bacterial small subunit ribosomal RNA", at positions 30 to 523 of the family's 1533-position model. The record is from RNAcentral.